RNAcentral lists this long non-coding RNA (5012 nucleotides) under Olea europaea (common olive). RNAcentral describes it as "long non-coding RNA (OEUR_LNC011846)". The record is from RNAcentral. Lineage: Eukaryota; Viridiplantae; Streptophyta; Magnoliopsida; Lamiales; Oleaceae.
UCAACAGAAAGCAACAUAUCAGGGCAUAAAUUCUAUGAUUGACUCAUCAAUAGAAAGCAAUAUAUCGGGGCAUAAAUUCUGUAAUUGAUACAUUAAAUUCUGUGAUUGACUCAUCAAUAGAAAUCAACAUAUCAGGGGCAUAAAUUUUGUAAUUGACUCAUUAAUCUAAGUUGUAAAUAAGAGAAGAAAUUUAGCUUACUAUAUGUAAGUUACCAGAUAUAGCUCCCUAAAAUCACUCUAUGUAAUUAGCAUGUGUAGUUUAAGUUUCCUUGUAUACUGGUUAAUUUUGCCUAUAUAAAUGAAAGACCUUCUCAGAAGAGAAAACAAUUUGAACCAUUUUGAUAUGGUAUCAGAGCUAUAGUCUAAGAAAUAUAUUUUUUUCAGUCAUAGCCUCAAGAAUUAUGGAGAAGUUAGAUAAUGUUUGUGUCAGAUUCACUGGCAAAAAAUAUGCUGCCUGGGAGUUUCAACUAGAAACAUUUCUCAAAGGAAAACAGCUCUGGGAUCAUAUAGAUGGGAGCAACGAUGGAGGUUCUACUGCUGCUGACAAGGCAGCUUGGGCUGCCAAAGAUAACCAGAUCAUGUCGUGGAUUCUUAGUUCUAUGGAACCACAUCUGAUUCUUGCUUUGCGUCCCCAUAGGUCUGCAAAGUCUAUGUGGGAUUAUCUCAAGCAAGUCUAUAACCAAAACAACAAUGAUAGGCGUUUCCAGCUUGAGUUGGCUAUUGCUAACUAUACCCAAGGAGACCUAUCUAUUCAAGAUUAUUACUCUGGUUUCCUGACUUUGUGGAAUGAUUAUUCAGACCUUGUUACGGCCAAGGUCUCUGCAGAAGGGUUGGAGGCAGGAAUGGAGGCAGUACAACACAUAUACAAAACCAGCCAAAGAGACCAAUUUCUGAUGAAAUUAAGGUCUGAUUUUGAAUCUAUUCGUGCCUCUCUAGUAAAUAGAGAUCCUGUUCCAACUUUGGAGGUAUGUUUUGGAGAAUUCUUGUGUGAGGAACAACGUCUCAAUACUCAAAAUAUUAUGGAGCAGGCACGUGUUUCUUCUAAUCUUGUCUCAGCUGCUUAUGUUGCUCAUAGUAAGGGAAAGGGACGUGAUAUGAGCACCACACAGUGCUAUAGUUGUAAGAAGUAUGGCCAUAUUGCUCCUCACUGCCCUCAGAAAGUGUGUAACUACUGCAAGCAAUCAGGGCAUAUUAUUAAAGAGUAUCCUGUUCGUCCUUCACGUUCCAAUAAGGCUUAUCAUGUUGCUGUUACUUCUACUGGUUCACAACCAGCCUUUACUACUGUGGAUGCUGCAACGUCUGCUGUUAGUUUACAGCGUCCAGAACCUGUUAUAACUCGAGAGGCGGUGCAUGAAAUGAUUGUGAGUGCUUCUUCAGCAUUUGGUCUUCAAGGUAAUGGUUCUUCCUCUACUUCUUGGAUCUUAGACUCAGGUGCCUCAAAUCAUAUGACUAAUACUCUUCAUAGAUUAAGUAAUAUCAGAAAGUAUGUUGGCUCAUCACAUAUUCAAACAGCCAAUGGUAGUGCUCUGCCCAUUGAGGCAGUUGGUGAUGUAUCAUCUAACUUUAAUGAUGUUCUGAUGUCGCCAAAUCUCUCUGUGAAUUUGAUAUCUAUCAGCCAACUUGUGGACCAAAACUAUAAUGUACAUUUUACUAAUGAUGGUUGUAUUGUACAGGAUUAAAUGUCAGGGCAGGUGAUAGCGAAUGGGCCUAAGCACGGACGUCUCUUUUCUCUACAAUUACUUAUUCCACAUAGCUUAUCUUCCUCAGUCCUAUCUUUACUUUGUAAUAAGUCUAAAGUGUCAAAUGAAGUCUGGCAUAAGCGUCUUGGCCAUCCUAAUUCUAGGAUUCCAUCUUGUUUAUUGAAAUCUGAUCCGUUAUCUAAUAAGGAGCAUUCUUCUUCCACUAUUUUUCUUGUGUGUACAACUUGUAAACUGGGCAAAAGUAAGAUUUUACCUUUUCCUUUUGAAGAAGUAGAGCAACUUACGCAUUUGAAAUAAUUCAUAAUGAUGUUUGGGGUAUUAGUCCUAUCAUUUCUCAUGGUCAAUACAAAUAUUUUGUGACGUUUAUCGAUGACUACAGCAGAUAUACGUGGGUUUACUUUUUGCGGCACAAAUCAGAAGUUUGUUCUAUGUUCAAACUAUUCUUAGCUCUUGUUAACACCCAAUUUUCAGCCACUAUUAAAACUCUUCGAUCUGACACGGGUGGGGAAUAUAUGUGUCAUGAGUUCCAAUCUUUCUUGCAAUCUAAAGGUAUUAUCUCUCAACGCUUUUGUCCAUACACUCCACAACAAAAUGGACUUGCCGAAAGAAAAAAUCGCAAUCUUUUAGAUGUUGUAAGGACCUUGCUCUUUGAGUCUUCUGUUCCUCCAAAGUUUUGGGUAGAAGCACUUGCUACAGCAACUUUUCUUAUCAAUAGACUCCCUUCCCAAGUUCUAAAUUUUCAGCCUCCAUAUUUCAAACUUCAUCAUCGCAAUCCUACCUACUCAAAUCUACACACUUUUGGGUGUGUAUAUUUUAUGCAUCUUCCUCCACUAGACAGGAACAAGCUUUCUGCUCAGUUCGUACGUUGUGCGUUCUUAGGAUAUAGUGUCACACAAAAAGGGUAUUUAUGCUAUGAUCCAAACUCUAAUCGGGUUCGUGUUUCACGAAAUGUGCUCUUUUGUGAAAAUCAAUGGUUCUUUCCUAUGUCUUCAUCACAGAAUCCUUCUCUUUCUCUCUUACCUUCUUUUGAUGACACCUCUAGUACUCCUAAUAAUCAAGUUCGAAAGGUAUAAGCCAGGUAUGGUCUAUGAGCGAAGACUUCAAGUGCUGCCCCCUUCUGCUCCUACCUUACCAUCUGCUCCUUUGCGCUUCUCCUCUAGAGUGUUUGAUCCUCCUGACCGUUAUGGAUUUGAGUCACUUAUGGUAUGUACCUGCAAUUGUGCACUCUCGGCCACUAUAUCCUCUAUUGUUAUUCCUACCAGUUACUCACAGGCAGUUAAAGAAAAAUGUUGGCAGCAGGCCAUGAAUGAGGAACUAAGUGCUCUUGAAGCUAAUAAGACUUGGGAAUUGGUAGAUUGUCCAGCAGGCGUGACUCCUCUUGGUUGUAAGUGGGUCUAUUCUAUUAAGGUUAAAUCUGAUGGUAGUUUGGACAGAUAUAAGGCCCGCUUAGUAGGUCUUGGAAAUAAUCAAGAAUAUGGUGUGAAUUACGAUGAGACUUUUGCUCCGGUGGCUAAAACGACCACCAUCCACACUAUAUUGGCUAUUGCUGUUUCUCAAAAUUGGGGUUUACAUCAAAUGGAUGUGAAGAAUGCAUUUCUUCAUGGAGAUCUCAAGGAAGAUGUUUAUAUGCGUCCUCCAGCCGGUUUACUUUCCGCUCCUACUUCUGUUGUGUGCAAGUUACGUCGAUCUUUGUACGGUCUUAAGCAGGCCCCCUAUGCUUGGUAUGAGAAAUUUGUCACUACUCUACUCAAAUUUACUUUUCUCAAAAGCAAGUAUGAUGCAUCUUUAUUUCUUCGCAAAACUAAGUCUGGUAUUGUGGUUAUCUUAGUGUAUGUGGACGAUAUAAUUAUCACGGGUACAGAUUCAGUUCUGAUUUCCCAAUUAAAACAGCAUUUAAAGGACUCAUUUUACAUGAAGGAUCUUGGCUCUCUCACAUAUUUUCUUGGUCUAGAAAUUAUUGCUGAUUCACGUGGUACUUUUCUGUCACAACAUAAGUAUGCCAAAGACUUGGUGGCUGCUGCUAGUCUCCAGGACUCUACACCUCUUGAAACUCCCAUGGAAAUUAAUCUCAAGCUACGCAAAGAUGAGGGUGACCUGUUAUUAGACCCCACAACUUAUCGCACUCUUGUUGGCAGCUUGGUAUAUCUGACAAUCACUAGGCCCGAUAUCUCUUAUGCAGUCCAGCAGGUUAGUCAGUACAUGGCUUCUCCUCGACAUCUCCAUAUGGCCGCAGUUCGAAGAAUCAUCAAUAUGUUUAAGGUACAUCCUUGCGGGGACUCUUUUACCCUGUAGGUACCUCACUUGAUCUUGCCGGAUAUAGUGAUGCUGACUAUGCCGGAUGUAGUGAUACUCGACGUUCUACCACUGGCUGGUGUAUGUUUCUUGGCCCUUCUCUUAUUUCCUGGAAAAGCAAGAAACAAGACCGUGUCUCCAAGUCCUCUACUGAGUCCGAAUAUCGGGCUAUGUCACAAGCUUGUGCUAAGAUACAUUGGCUCCGUGGUCUACUAGAUGAGCUUGGAUUUCCUCCAUGUGGUCCUACUCUUCUUAAUGUGGAUAAUACUAGUGCCAUCCACAUUUCAGCCAAUCCUAUCUUUCAUGAACGCACUAAACAUAUCGAGGUGGAUUGCCACUUCAUCCGGGAGGCGUUUGAGGCUCAGAUAAUUGCUCUCCCCCAUGUGUUAAGCAAUCUUCAAGUGUCAGAAAUUUUCACUAAGUCUCUUACGUGGCAACGACAUAAUUUUCUUACAAACAAAUUGAUGCUGAUUGAUAAACCUGCAUCAAUUUGAGGGGGGAUGUCAACAGAAAGCAGCAUAUCAGGGCAUAAAUUCUAUAAUUGACACAUUAAAUUUUGUGAUUGACUCAUCAAUAGAAAGCAACAUAUCAGGGGCAUAAAUUCUGUAAUUGACUCAUUAAUCUAAGGUGUAAAUAGGAGAAGAGAUUUAGCUUACCAUAUGUAAGUUACCAGAUAUAGCUCCCUAAAAUCACUCUAUGUAAUUAGCAUGUAUAGUUUAAGUUUCCUUGUAUACUGGUUAAUUUUGCCUAUAUAAAUGAAAGACCUUCUCAGAAGAGAAGACAAUUCGAACCAUUUUGAUACAUAGUACUGUGGGAGUCGAAAAAAUUGGUGAUUCAGCCGAUAUUUAGUGCCUGACAAUCAUUAUGGUAGAAAAAAAAGUUUUAAAUAUCGAUUUUUAGGAUAAUGUGUAGUUAAAAGUAGAGAAAAGUUUUUGGUAUAUGUGUAAAAUAUUUUAUUGUGUGAAUGUGUAGCAAACCAAAAAAUAAAUUAAUGGAUGUCAAACAGGUACUUAAGGAGAA